RNAcentral lists this long non-coding RNA (16231 nucleotides) under Triticum aestivum (bread wheat). RNAcentral's name for it is "long non-coding RNA (TAES_LNC023829)". The record is from RNAcentral. Lineage: Eukaryota; Viridiplantae; Streptophyta; Magnoliopsida; Poales; Poaceae.
GGUAGCUGAUGGCGCCGAUGCGCAGCGGCGCUCGAUCCACAAGUAGUAGUCUGAAGCUGGGAGUGCAAUCUACUUCAUCUUGUCGGAGGGGUAGACAAGUGACGCUUGCGCAGCUCAACUUCUAGUACUGUUAUCUAUGGGCUGACCAGUCGCUGGGAAAAGGUUUUGGAUUAUUAGUUUAUUGUACGCGAGCUUUUUAAACUUUGCAUGUUCAUGUUGUUGCCGUGGUAGUGACGGUAAUAAUGCCUAUAGCGUCAUAUGGUGCAGAUGUACUGCUGCGCUUGAAAAGCCUAAAAUUAAAAUUACGCCUCUGUCUGUCUGUCUGUCUGUCUUGCUUCUGGUGUGACGUCAGGGUUCUUCUGCCUUCCUGUUUCGAUGUCUGCAGUAGUAAGCACAUUGCUUACCGAUGGUUUGGUACCAACAAGGUUUUGUGGAUCUGCCGCUGCGCACUACCAGCGCCCUAGGCCCUAGCCGACGGAUCGGUCCGAGUGGUGGUUCAGUCGGAUUCUUCGGUCGUGCUUUCCAGCCUAUGGUCAUCUGGCUCGUGAGAUCAGGAGGUUAUCUAUAGUGAGGGUGAGGCAGUUCGUUCCCUGAAGUUCUCGAUUCUGCAUAUAGGACAUCCACUGAACUCCUUUCAAGUCAGCCGCUAUCCAUGUUCUCAGCUCUGCAUAUAGUAACAACUAACAACACAUGCAGUGAAAUCCUGGUUUUUGAAAAUCCUAGUAUUAUUUCUCUCCCUCCGAUGUGCCACCACAAAGCCAUCAUUGGCGCGUUGCCCUGCCAGAAAGAAGUCCCCUUGCCAUCUCCAAGGUGAAUAGCAGUGGAAGCUUUGAAUAGAAGAGGCAACCCCUACCAUGGCUUGUCCAGCUCUGUGCAACAUUGCCACAACCACCUUAAUUUCAGAGGCUUGCCAUGGCUUGGAUCUGCAGGUUAGGUACACCUAAACCACCGAAUUGUACUGGAGAGCUGGCUCCAUCUGACCAAACGCUUGCCCACACUAACAUGAUCAACACCAAUCCAAAGGAAGGCACGCCUAAGCCUUUCAAUCUGGUUUAUAAUCCGUUUGGGCGUGUCAAUACAUAUGAGCUGGAAGAUCGUCAUUGCCGAGGUCACAAAGAGGACCAGGCAGUAGCCUGGUGGCAAGAGAGCAGUGGCUCUUUCUUGCAGACCGGGGUUUGACUCCCGUCGGGAGCGAAUUUCCGCGAUCUCAUCCGGGUGGGCUCCUUUUAUAAAAAUAUGUCCUGGGUGCUAGUGCCCAUGGAUCUCAUUUUUUUUCCAUCAAGCCAACUUGUUAAUUAGUUUAUCCAACAGCUCCUGAAAAGCACCCCAUUUCAGUUAUCACACAAUGGCAUACCUAAAUAGGUGCUUCAUUCGGUCCCUUUUACUCUGCAUAUUAGAUUUGUGCAAUUCGAACUUUGCAAAGUUUGAGCAAAUUUAUAUUAUUAUUUUUUUGCGGGAAAAACUUUCAAUCUAUUCAUCUUGAAUCAUGGUAGUAUAACGAACACUAGAAAUAAUAAAAAUUACAUCCAGAUCCGUAGACCACCUAGCGACGACUACAAGUACUGAAGCGAGCCGAAGGCGCGCCGCUGUCAUCGCCCCUCCCUCGCCGGAGCCGGGCAAACGUUGUUGUAGUAAACAGUCGGGAAGUCGUCGUGCUAAAGCCCCGUGGAACCAGCGCACUAGAACAGCAACCGCCGCAGAUGAAGAGUGUAGAUCAAAAGAAUCCAACCUAAAGACAUACGUACGAAGACGAGCAACGAACAGAUCCAAGCAAAUCCACCAAAGACAGAUCCACCGGAGACGCACCUCCACACGCCCACCGAUGAUGCUAGACGCAUCACCGGAACGGGGGCUAGGCAGGGAGACCUUUAUUCCAUCUUCAGGAAGCCGCUGCCGUCUCGCCUUCCUGAGCAGGACACAAACCCUAACAAAGCUCAAAAACAGAUCUAAAAACAGAGCCCUCCCACCGGCAAGGGCCGAGAUCCACUCCGCCUCCAUGGCCAUAAGGCCACCGAAGACGGGACGGACCGGCACCGAUGCUGGCGGGUGGCAGAGAAUCUUAGUUUGUUUGGAGGCAGCGGCUGUAGCUAGGCGGAGGCGAGCAAAUUUAUAUUAAAAAAUUAUAAACAUCUACAAUACCAAAUAUAUACUCCCUCCGUUUUUUAUUUACUCCACAUAUUAGCUUCGGUCAAAAUCAAACUUUGUAAAUUUUGACAAAGUUUAUAGAAAAAAAUAUUAACAUAUAAAAUAACGAAUCAAUACCAUUAGAUUCACUAUUGAAUAUACUUUCACGUGAUAUAGAUUUGUUAUUGUAAAUGUUAGUAUUUUUUUUAUAAACUUAGUCAAACUUUAUGAAGUCUGACUUAGUCAAAUCUAAUAUGCGGAGUAAAUAAAAACAGAGGGAGUACUAUAAAAUUAAAUUUUAUGAUGAAUCUAACAAUGUUGAUUUGGCAGUGUGAAUGUUGAUACUUACUUCUAUAAAUUUGAUCAAAGUAGAGAUAUUAAAAAGCAUUAGACCGAGUAUAAGGGAAGCUCGCGGUUUGGCCGCCAAUCCCUGCCUGGAUAUCAGAUAGAUCGAAAUCUUCACAUCCUACUUUUAGCCAAAUUGGUCUUGGCCAGUGGCAGCACAAAAGAAAAAUCCAACAGAGCAGCGACAGUAUUCGUGUCCUAAAGACAAGGCUUGCUGAAAAUUAUGACGUACCUGCAUAAACUCAAGUCUGUUGCUUAAUGACUUGGUUUCCAAGGGGAGAGAGGACACCUUGCACUUGUGCAUGGUUCGUUAACCUUCCCAAAAAGAGCCGACUAUUUGCGAUGCACCAAAUUUGAAGACGGCGGCGUCAAGGCGAGCGCAGCGAGGCGCAGAGGUGAUGGCAAGGCCUCAGACGGGAGCGGCCUAGAGUAGGAACGAUGCCCUGGUGAAGGGGAGUNNNNNNNNNNNNNNNNNNNNNNNNNNNNNNNNNNNNNNNNNNNNNNNNNNNNNNNNNNNNNNNNNNNNNNNNNNNNNNNNNNNNNNNNNNNNNNNNNNNNNNNNNNNNNNNNNNNNNNNNNNNNNNNNNNNNNNNNNNNNNNNNNNNNNNNNNNNNNNNNNNNNNNNNNNNNNNNNNNNNNNNNNNNNNNNNNNNNNNNNNNNNNNNNNNNNNNNNNNNNNNNNNNNNNNNNNNNNNNNNNNNNNNNNNNNNNNNNNNNNNNNNNNNNNNNNNNNNNNNNNNNNNNNNNNNNNNNNNNNNNNNNNNNNNNNNNNNNNNNNNNNNNNNNNNNNNNNNNGCGAGUGCCAAGGGAGGCCAGGGCUACGAGUCGGCUCUAGGCAGCGCCUACUAGCCGCGAGAGGGGGGAGCGGGCGGUUAGGCCAGAGCAUGUCGGAGGCUCGCGCCAUUGGAUGUGAAUCCAACGGUUCAAAUAGAAUUGACCGAAACUGAUUUUUUUUUUCCGGAAAUAGUAACUGGCGAAUGUUCACCAGGGAGCAACUGCCUGCGAACGCCUAAACUGCCACAUGAUCUUGAUCCUACGUUGCAUGUCGAAUGACUUUUUCACACUCAACAUUAAAGGAAUGCCGUGGCAGUUUUGCAAAAUGGCCAGCCAGUUUCUCCAAAUACACUGAAACUGCAAACGACAUCUCUUGUGGGGAGCGUUCGCCAAAUAUGCCAACCUUUUUAUUUUUCCCGGUUUCCUGAUGUAUUGGCGAUUCCAGUAAAACAAACUCCUAACCGCCGGCGACUACGCAGUGGGGGUUGUCCAGCCAAACCCCAGUGCCUGGAGUUGUUGCUAGCCCACUCCUCUUCCAGCCGGGGGUGCUGGAGGCAUUGUCAAACGCCGUUGCUGACAGGAUUGCUACGGCAGGAGGUGGUACAGGGAACAAUGUGCUGCGCUUUAAAUUCAACGCAGCUAAGAAUCCCAUGCGAGGCAACUCAAAAAAGAAAGAUAAAAAGAAAAUGGGGCUAAACAGAGAUGAGGAUGCUCGUAAGCAAGUACUGGGAAAAAAAAGGGGACACUCUUUUGGCGUUCGUCCGACUGGUAGUGAUUUAGAGUUCUCCUUUGAGAAAGAAAUGGAGAGCUAUGAGCGCAUUUUAUAUGGCGAUGUAACCGUCUCAUCCAAGCGGGUGUGCACUGGUAGAGUUGAAGUAGUCCAGAACAAGGAGGGAGGGGUUACACACAUUGCAAAGGAGACUGACGAGAAGGAGGAGGAGUAUGUUCCGCAAGGUGUGGAAUCUGUAGGUGAAGAGAAAGAUGAAAAUGGCACAUCGGCGGCCCCCGAGGAGGGGGACCGCCGCGCAAAAUGAAAAUCCUAGGAUGGAACUGUCGUGGUAUGCUCUCCAACACGGCAGUUCGUGAGCUUCGGGAGCUACAGGAUCGUACAAGGGCAGAUUUAAUUUUCCUUUCUGAAUCUCAUUUGAAUAAUUGUAAAGCCGAUGAGCUACGCUGCACUUUAGGUUUUGACUCUAUGUUAGUAGUGGAAAGUGAUGGUAAGGCCGGUGGCCUAGUUUUGUUUUAUCAUAAGUCGAAUAAAGUUGAGUUGAACUAUGUUUCGCCCCAUUUUAUUGAUAUUGUGUUCAUGUAUGAGGAUGUGGUUCAAUGGCGUUUUACGGGUUUUUAUGGUCACCCGAAUUGGAAUGAACGCCAUCUAUCUUGGAAUGAUAUUCGCAAUCUACAUAGUAAGGGUAACCACCCCUGGGUGGUUUUGGGGGAUUUUAAUGAAAUUUUGUAUCCUUCGGAAAAGGAGGGCGGUAUGGCAAGACCACUUGGUAUGAUGAGAGAGUUCCGUGAAUGCCUAAUGGAUUGUGGUCUCGACGAUUUAGGCUAUACAUGAGACCUUUUCACUUGGAGUAGAGGCGAAAUUCGUGAGCGUCUUGAUCGGGCGGUCUGUAAUUUAGCACGGGCAAAUAAAUUCCCACGAGCGGGAGUGACCAACGAAGAACAUGUUCAUUCUGACCAUCGUCCAAUCGUACUGGAUACGGAUUUUUUGGAUGAAAAAAUAUUCAAACGACCAGAGGGACGUGUUAAACAAUUUGAGGCGAGGUGGUUGAAAGAAGAGACAGUCACUGAAAUUGUUAAGGCAUCUUGGGAGAAAGCAAAGCUUGCGGGGAUUGGACCUUCACUUGCUGAUCGUACGAGAGCAGUGCAUGCCGAUUUGCAUACUUGGGAUCGGGAAACUCUAAAGGGACCGAAAGUGAGAAUUAGGAAAUUGAAAAAAGAAUUGGAGAAACUAAGACGAGGCCCUCUGGAUACGGAAUCUCGAUGUCGCCAGAAGGAAAUUAUUGUGGUAAUUGAGAAUAUUUUGGAUCAAGAGGAAGUUUUCUGGUUACAAAGAGGACGGGCGAACUGGUUGAUGCAUGGGGAUCGUAAUACAGCUUUCUUUCACAACGCUGCCACGACCAGGAAAAAAAGAAAUAAUAUAAGGAAACUGUUAGAUGAUUCAGGAAACUGGGUAGAAGAAAAGGAGUUGAGAGAUCACAUCACUAAAUAUUUUUCAAAGCUUUUCACUUCGGAAGUUCUGCAUCCCAAUCAAGAAGUUUUAUCACUUGUCCGUAGGAGAGUGUCAAAUGAAAUGAACAGUGCUCUACUUGCCCCUUAUACCGCGGAAGAUGUUCGCAAGGCUUUAUUCGAUAUUGGGGACUUGAAAGCUCCAGGACCAGAUGGUCUCCAUGCUAUUUUCUAUAAAAGGUUCUGGCCUAUGCUGGGGGAGGACCUAAUUGAGGAGGUUUUGAAAGCAGUCAACACAUGUACUAUCCCGACCGGUUGGAACGAUACGGCGAUCGUGAUGAUUCCUAAGAUUAAUACACCAGAAAAGGUAACACAAUUUAGACCGAUCAGCUUAUGUAAUGUGGUAUACAAAAUAAUUGCAAAAAUGGUGGCUACCCGUUUGAAGGUUUUUUUACCAGAAAUCAUUAGCCCAACACAGAGUGCAUUCGUACCGGGAAGACUGAUAACGGAUAAUAUUUUAGUGGCCUAUGAAUGUUUUCACACAAUUAAGAACAAAAGAGAAGGUAGAGAGGGCUUGUGUGCCAUAAAACUUGACAUGCACAAAGCAUACGAUAGAGUCGAGUGGCCUUUUUUGAAAGAGAUUAUGUUGAGAUUGGGUUUUCGUUAAGAAUGGGUGAAUUUGAUUAUGCAAUGUGUCUCAACUGUCGAAUACAGAGUAAGGAUCAAUGCAGAGGAAAGUGAGAGCUUCAAGCCUACUAGAGGAUUGAGGCAGGGUGAUCCGCUAUCACCAUACCUCUUCUUGCUAUGCACAGAGGGGUUGAAUGCAUUGCUGACACAUGCCGAGGAAAACGAAAACAUAUCAGGAGUUAAAGUAUGUAGGGACGCCCCGCCAGUCACAAAUCUUCUCUUUGCGGAUGAUUCAUUGAUCUUGAUGAAAGCCAAUCAGCAUAGUGCGGCGGCCCUGAAAUCAGCAUUAGAUUUAUAUUGUGCGGCGUCGGGACAACUGGUAAGUGUGGAAAAAUCCAGCAUUUUUUUAGUCCUAAUACAACGGUUGAGAUCAGGGAACAAAUGUGUACAACGCUGAAUAUAAUGACGGAGGCAAUGAAUGAUAAAUACUUGGGUUUACCAGCCAACGUGGGUGCUGAUAAAUCAGACUGCUUUAAAUUUCUGAUUGAACGAAUUGUUAAGAAAAUUAGUGGUUGGAAGGAAAAAUUACUGUCUGCCGGGGGGAAGGAGAUCCUACUCAAGGCCGUGAUCCAAGCCAUACCUACCUAUGCAAUGUCGGUCUUUAAAAUUCCUAAAAAAAUUAUAAAGGAAUCAUUGACGCGAUAGCGCAUUUCUGGUGGGGUGACGAGGAGAACCAGAGGAGGAUGCACUGGAUGGCCUGGUGGAAAAUGUGUGUACCAAAAAACCAAGGUGGAAUGGGAUUCCGUGAUAUCCACUGUUUCAACCUAGCUUUGCUCGCCAAACAAGCAUGGCGUCUUAUAGAUAAUCCUGAUUCCUUGUGUGCCACUAUUCUGAGGGCCAAGUACUACCCUGAUGGCGAUUUGCUGAAGUCUAAGCCAAAGCGUGGCGCUUCUUUCAUCUGGCAGAGCAUUAUGGCAGGUAUAACUACUCUGAAAUGUGGCUAUAUUUGGCGAGUGGGUAAUGGACAUAACAUCAAUAUCUGGGAAGAUGCCUGGAUCCCAAACUGUGUCACUAGGAAGAUUGUGACCCCUAGGGGGAGCCAUUUGCUAUCAAAAGUGAGUGACCUGAUUGACCCUGCUUCCAACAAUUGGGACGAGGAACUGAUUAGACAAACUAUGUGGCCCAUUGACGCACAACGAAUUCUUUCAAUCCCACUUUCGCAAUAUGAUAUGACAGAUUUCAUUGCCUGGAGUUACACAAAAAAUGGUAUGUUCUCGGUAAGGUCUGCUUACUCGGUGGAAUGGAAUUAUCAGUAUGAGAGUAGACUCAAAUAUUCUAAUGGGAUGGGGCGAAGCAUACCAAAUCCUAUUUGGUGUCAGAUAUGGAAGUUAGCCUGCCCAGCAAAGGUAAAAAUUUUUAUAUGGCGUACAUUACAUGGCACUCUCCCAUGCCGGGUAACACUCGCUAAUAGACACAUGAAGGUCUCGCCCUCUUGCCCGACUUGCUCUCGGGGUUUAGAAGAUACGAAACACAUGCUUUUCCUCUGUAGUAAAGCAAAGGAGGUUUGGAAGAGACUAGGGAUGGAUGUGAUAAUUGAUAAAGCUUGUGAGGUUGAUCUUGCCGGGGAGGCAAUAUUGGAAUACCUUUUACUUCUUCCAGACCAAGACUUGAGUAUUAUGGGGUACCAAAAUGUACGUGAAAUGAUAGCUAUUUCAGCUUGGUACCUAUGGUGGGAAAGACGAAAGUUAGUGCAUAAGGAAUUAACUCAGAAUGCAAAUCAGAUAGCAAUGGGGAUCAUAGCUCUCACAUCCAACUUUGUAAAUGCAUCAUCUCCAAAGGCGACGAUGAAAAAGGGGGGUUGGUACUGUCCUCCUAGGGGUUUUGUGAAACUUAAUGUUGACGCCUCUUUUGAUCAUGAUAUGUUGAAGGGUACGAUGGGGGCAGUUUUAAGAGACCACAAAGGUAGGUUCAUUGCAGGAGGAAAUGAAAAGAUUGACUAUUGUGCGGAUGUUUUGAUGGCUGAAGCUUUAGCUCUCAAGUUUGGCCUAACAAUGGCGCAAAGGGCGGGGUGUAACCGCCUAAUCAUCAACUCAGACAACAUGGAGGUGGUUGAGACCAUGCAGGAAGGAGGACAAUCAACGGGGGCGGCGGCAGCAGUCUUCGAGGAUUGUUACCACUACGCCUGUGAUUUUGUCACGACUAGAUUCGAACAUUGUAAUAGAGAGGCAAAUAAAAUAGCUCAUGAACUUGCUAGAUUAGCUAGAUUUUCUUCGACUUCCGACUGGUUUGAGGAACCUCCAAAUGAAAUUGUAAUGAUCCUCACAAACGAUGUACUGGUUAUUUCAAAUGAAUAAAGCUUCCUUUUAAAUAAAUAAAAAACUCCUAACCGCCGGCUCAUGAAAGAGUUGGAUCGAACCCUACCUCCACCACAACGCAUCGAUUGAUUCUUCAGAUAGGGUUACGCAGCUGAUGCCAUGUCGGCGCCUCUUCUGGACAGAGACCCGUGCCCGGACCGCAUCAUCGAGGAUGCCGGCGGUACUUUCGCCAUGGGCGCCGUGGGAGGUUCUGUCGUCCACCUCCUCAAGGGCCUCCGCAACUCGCCCAAUGGCGCGCGGAUCAGCGGCGGCAUGCAGGCCGUGCGAUCGAACGCCCGCGGAUCGGCGGGAGCUUUGCCGUGUGGGGCACCGUCUUCUCCAUCACCAGCUGCGCCGCGGUCUUCGUGCGCCAGAAGGAGGACCCCUGGAACUCCGUCGUCGCCGGCGCCGCCACGCACGGGUUUCUCCACCUGCGCAUGGGCCUCAGAGUUGCAGGCCGCUGGGCGGUCUAUGGCGGCUGUCUUCUCGCGCUCAUCGAGGGCGACGCCCUCAUGGUAAACCGUCUCUUCGACGCAAAGAAGAACCCUCCGCCGCGGCCGCGCCCUGCCCAUGACCCCAACUUGGCCACCGCGGCGACCCCAGACCUGCCCCAGCCAGCCGUGGCCCCUGCGGAGGUCGCGAGAUCGAGCGGUGGGGGUAGCUGGUUUGGCGGCCUCUUCGUCAAGGAGGAGGAGGAGAAGAAGCCCAGUGGCAGUGAGGGCAAGUCGGAGAUAUUAGAGAGCUUCGAGACGCCCAGCCCUCCGGUGCCAUCAUCGGAGCACAAGUGAAAAGAAGGUGCGCGCGGUGUUAAUUGGACUGCUCUCUGGUCUGCAUCUUUCACUCGGUUUCAGGAAUAUGUGCUGUCUUUCAGCUUGACCCGUUCCUUGUUUCUUCUACUUUCACGGGAGGAGGUGACAAUUAUAGAUUGAUUUGAUGGAUUAUGGAUGGGCUUAGGCCUAUAUAAGACAAUAAUCCCUAGUUAACCUCUAAGGCCCAUGCAUGUGUACGGUAAGUGAUGGGAAGUAUGGGAAGUUUAGUCCCAUACUGCUACAGUAAGAAGAGUGAGACCUCUUUAUAAGGGCUGCUCUACCACUUGCUAUUGGGAGCUUGGGAAUAGGAGCUGUACAUGCGCGUUCCUCCUCCUCCGCCGCCCGCCUCGCCUCGCCUCGUCACGACGCGCGCGCGCCGCGGGUUGCCGGAAUGAGCCGAGACGUUGGACCGUGGGCUGUUCGCUGACUCGGUCGUGGGCCUGGCCCAGGCCCAUCUACCUGAAGGCCUAUAUAAGAAGGCACUAGGGAGAACGGCAAUAAGGUUUUUGGGGAGCGUCUCGACGCGACUGCUCCCGAUCCGUCCCCGUCUCCGUCCGCCUCUGCUUCCACUACUUCCCAAAAGGUUCUUGGCGGCGGCCAAUACGGUAUGCUCACGACGCCGACGCCAAGAAGAAGGCCUCGGCCAAUGCCGAGGCUGCCGCUACCGCCGCCGCGUUGGCCUAGCCAACCGGAGGGUCACAUGCUUAGGUAUCGGUAUGAGAUGCAUACCGUAUUUGCCAUGCUUACUGGCUACUCGUGGAUUAGAUUAGUCGGAAAAGUGCUAAUAUUUCCAACAAUCCAAAAACCUUAUUUUAGGCACUUUUCGACUCAUGGCUUUGCCGCUACUCUGAAACCGGAAAAGUUUACUGGAACGCAUUUUAAGCGUUGGCAGACGAUGACUACCUUGUGGCUCACAGUAAUGAACGUGUUCUAGGUUGGUGGUGUGUCUCCCACGGUAACGAUUGCUCCUGAACAGGAGAAUGCAUUUAGGGAGGCAACCACCAUCUUUGUGGGAGCCGUUCUUACUGUGAUCGGAGACAAGCUAGUCGACGCAUAUCUCCAUAUGCGUGUUGCCAAGAAUUUGUGGGAUGCGCUCGAAGCUAAGUUCGGCGCAACCGAUGCUGGAAGCGAGUUGUAUGCUAUGGAGCAGUUCCAUGAUUACAAAAUGGUUGAUAAUCGUUCUGUAUUGGACCAGGCCCAUGAGAUACAAUGCAUCGCUAAGGAGUUGGAGCUCCUGAAGUGUGAGUUAUCUGACAAGUUUGUCGCGGGUUGCAUUAUUGCAAAACUCCUUCCUGGAUGGAGGAACUUUGCUACUUCUCUCAAGCACUUGAGACGUGAAUUCUCUAUUGAGGAUGUCAUCGGUCAUCUAAGUGUUGAGCAGAACUCGAGAGCAAAGGACUCACACGUGAAAGGGGCAGAGGGUUCUUCUAGCGCCAAUGUGGUGCAGAAGAACUUCCACAAGUUCAAGGGAAAGAACUCUGUCCAGCAAAAUACUACCUUUAAGAAGAAGGGUAAGAAGAAAGAUAAGAAGAGAGAUGGCUCCUUCACUUGUGGUUCAGAGGAACAUUGGGCAAACAAGUGCCCAAACAAGUAUAAGAAGCCAGGACAGGACGCAAAAUUUGUCAAUGUCACUUUGAGCAACCAUGAUGGGGCAUCUGGGUAUGGUAAUCUGUUUACCGUACUUUCAGUUUGUCAGUCCACCGAUUGGUGGGUUGACACUGGGGCCUAUAUUCAUGUGUGUGCUGAUGUGUCCUUGUUUUCUUCUUACCAGAUCACAGGAGAUUGUUCCGUCCUGAUGGGGAACUGCUCGCAUGCUUCUGUUCAUAGUGUUGGCACGGUAGAUCUGAAGUUUACUUCGGGAAAGAUCGUGCAACUGAAGAACGUGCAGCAUGUCCCCGCCAUCAAGAAGAAUCUCGUUAGUGGAUCCCUUCUAUGUAAAGAAGGGUUUAAUUUAGUAUUUGAGUCCAACAAAGUAGUCAUAUCUCGGUAUGGACUAUUCGUUGGAAAAGGAUAUGAUUGUGGUGAUUUGUUCCGCCUUUCCCUGGAGGAUUUCUGUUAUAAAGUUGUGAACCAAAUUCAUUCUAAUGUGAACGAAUGUGAGGUUUGGCAUUCACGUCUUUGUCACAUAAAUUCGGUUGUAUGACGCGGCUAGCUAAGAUGAAUCUAAUCCCGAGUUUCACUUUAGCCAAAGGCUCUAAGUGCCAUGCGUGUGUGCAAGCAAUGCAACCUCGUAAGCCUCACAAGCCUGCGAAGGAGAGACACCUGGCACCAUUAGAGCUUAUACAUUCAGAUCUAUGUGAGAUGAAUGGUGUGUUGAUUAAAGGUGGAAAGAAAUACUUCAUGACUCUAAUUGAUGAUUCCACUAGAUUCUGUUAUGUGUAUUUGUUAAAUACAAAGGAUGAGGCUCUACACUACUUUAAAAUCUAUAAGGCUGAAGUUGAGAACCAACUUGAGAAUAAAACGAGUCCGGUCUGAUUGUGGUGGAGAGUACUUUUCUAGUGAGUUUGAUUUAUUCUGUGCGGAACAUGGUAUUAUUCAUGAGAGGACGCCUCCCUAUUCACCCCAGUCAAACGGGGUUGCCGAACGGAAAAACCGUACUCUAACAGAUUUGGCUAAUGCCAUGUUAGAUACAUCGGGUUUAUCCAAGGCAUGGUGGGGGGAGGCUGUAUUGACAUCAUGUCAUGUCCUGAAUAAAGUUUCCGCGAAGGAUAAUGAGACUACUCCCUAUGAGCAAUGGGAAAAGAAAAGAACUACACUCUCUUACUUGCGCACUUGGGGUUGUUUGGCGAAAGUCAAUGUGCCGAUCCCAAAAAAGCGUAAGCUUGGACCAAAGACCGUGGACUGCGUUAAUUUGGGUUACGCUAAGAAUAGCGUUGGCUAUAGAUUUCUAAUAGUGAAAUCUGAGGUACCUGACCAGAAGGUCGGUACAAUCAUAGAGUCUAAGGAUGCUACAUUCUUUGAGGAUAUUUUUCCCAUGAGAGAUAUGCAAAGCACUUCUAGACUGGAAUCUGAUGAGACUCCUGAACCUGCCAUUCCGAUGGAAUACUAUGAACACAAAAGUGAUGAAAGUUCCACGGAGGAUGACGAGGAAGCUCCUGUUAGGAGCAAGAGACAAAGGACUGCAAAGUGUUUUGGUGAUGAUUUCCUCGUGUACCUCGUGGAUGAUGACACUCCCAGUUCCAUUUCAGAAGCUUAUGCAUCUCCAGAUGCUGACUACUGGAAGGAUGCUGUCCGUAGCGAGAUGGAUUCCAUCAUGGCUAACGGGACAUGGGAGAUCACUGAUUGUCCUUAUGGUUGCCAACCAUUGGGAUGUAAGUGGGUGUUCAUGAGGAAGCUAAGGCACGAUGGUACUAUUGAGAAGUACAAGGCUAGGCUUGUGGCCAAGGGUUAUACCCAAAAGGAAGAAGAGGAUUUCUUCGACACUUACUCACCUGUGGCUAGGCUGACAACCAUUCGAGUGUUACUCGCUUUGGCUGCCUCGCAUGGUCUUCUCGUUCAUCAGAUGAACGUUAAGACGGCUUUCCUUAAUGGAGAGCUAGACGAGGAAAUUUACAUGCAACAGCCGGAUGGCUUUGUUGUAAAUGGUCAGGAAAGAAAGGUGUGUAAGCUAGUGAAAUCUUUGUAUGGCCUGAAACAAGCGCCUAAGCAAUGGCAUGAGAAGUUUAAUACAACUUUGGCAUCUGCUGGCUUUGUUGUUAAUGAAGCUGACAAAUGUGUAUACUAUCGCUAUGGUGGGGGCGAAGGAGUUAUACUGUGUCUGUAUGUCGAUGACAUACUGAUAUUUGGGACCCACCUCAAGGUCAUUGAGGAGGUCAAGGCUUUUCUAUCUCAUAACUUUGAGAUGAAAGAUCUGGGUGUGGCUGAUAUUAUCUUGAACAUCAAGCUACUGAGAAAUACUGAGGGUGGAAUUAGACUUUUGCAAUCCCACUAUGUUGAGAAGAUUUUGAGCCAUUUUGGAUAUUCGGACUGCAAACCUUCUGCAACACCAUAUGAUCCUAGCGUGCGGAUUCGAAAGUUCGAAGGCACGGCUGUAGAUCAAUUGAGAUAUUCUCAAGUGGUUGGUUCACUCAUGUACCUAGCUUGUGCUACUCGCCCUGACAUCUCAUUUGCUGUGUGCAAACUGAGCCGGGUUGUUUCCAAUCCGGGAGAUGUGCAUUGGCAUGCUGUUGAGCGAGUGAUGCGCUAUUUGCAAGGUACUGUGAACUACGAGAUUCACUAUUCUGGGUACCCGACGGUACUCGAGGGGUAUAGUGAUUCUAACUGGAUAUCUGAUGCUGAUGAGAUGAAAGCCACAAGUGGAUAUGUCUUCACACUUGGUGGUGGUGCUGUUUCCUGGAAGUCUUGCAAGCAGACGAUCUUAACCAGAUCGACUAUGGAAGCAGAACUCAUAGCAUUAGACACAUCAUGCGUCGAAGCAGAAUGGCUUCGAGAGCUUUUGAUGGAUUUGCCGGUAGUUGAUAAACCUGUCCCGACUGUCCUUAUGAACUGUGACAAUCAAACAGUGAUUGCCAAGGCUAAGAGUUCAAAGGACAACUUGAAAUCUACAAAGCACAUAAGAAGAAGAUUAAAAUAUGUCAGAAAAUCAAGAAACACCGGAGUAAUAGCGUUGGAUUAUAUCCAGACGACUAAGAAUCUGGCAGACCCUUUUACAAAAGGGCUAUCACGGGUUGUGAUAGAAAAUGCAUCAAGGGAGAUGGGUAUGAGACCCACGUAAGUUGCCAUGGGGGUAACCCAACCUAUGUGAUCGGAGUUCCCGUGAAUUAGGACCUGGGAAAACAAUCCAGCGGUCAACUGAGGAGAGUAUCCUUAAUUAUCCCACUCCGUUGGAGAUGCAAUAAUACUCUUAAUUCUGUAAGGCAGGCUGACUUUUGUCUUAAUGUGUUCCAAAGCUUAUGUAAGCAAGAUGCUAACCUACAGAGCAUUCUUUAAAGGAACGCACCUAUGUGAGCCCGACUGCUGGUCACAGUCUAUGAGAUUGGGUGAUCUCUAGGAAGCUCAUGAGAAGGUACGGAGUAUGACUAAUAAGCUCCACCCGUGGGGUUUAGUCUUCGGCAGCCACGUAUCAGCUGACAAUAGGCGAAACUUCUACACGCCAAACUGACAAUACAAGGCAUAGUCCAUUGUUCAGUUGUGAAGAAGUCUAAUCCUAUUGCUCUAGGUGGAAGUUCAAUUUAACAGUCUCCACUGAAAAUUCUGGUAUAUCAAACAUUGUUUGGAACAGUUGACAAACUUAUGUGCCUCGAGAUCUGGUGGGGGAUUGAUGGAUUAUGGAUGGGCUUAGGCCCAUAUAAGACAAUAAUCCCUAGUUAAUCUCUAAGGCCCAUGCAUGUGUACGGCAAGUGGUGGGAAGUAUUGGAAGUUUAGUCCCAUACUGCUACAGUAAGAAGAGUGAGACCUCUUUAUAAGGGCUGCUCUACCACUUGCUAUUGGGAGCUUGGGAAUAGGAGCUGUACACGCGCGCUCCUCCUCCUCCGCCGCCCGCCUCGCCUCGCCUCGUCAUGACGCGCGCGCCGCGGGUUGCGAGAAUGAGCCGAGCCGAAGCUUAUUUUUGCCGCUCAGGAAUGGUUAAUUAAUUGUUAAUUAAUUAACGAGUCGCUUACGGAAGCGCCACUGUCCGAGACGUUGGACCGUGGGCUGUUCGCUGACUCGGUCGUGGGCCUGGCCCAGGCCCAUCUACCUGACGGCCUAUAUAAGAAGGCACUGGCCAGUGGAGUGAACCCUAACUCAGUUCACUCACUCCCUCUCGUACAACCCUAGCCGUCAUCUACUGUUCCUCUCCUUGUGCUGCUUCCGGCGAUCCCAUCCCGACGACCGCGUGCACGGUUGGUCGGGAGAGCAGGUGCCUCCGGAACCCUGUCGUUCGAGAUCCUGCCCGGGAGAACGGCAAUAAGGUUUUUGGGGAGCGUCUCGACGCGACUGCUCUCGAUCCGUCCCCGUCUCCGUUCGCCUCUGCUUCCACUACUUCCCCUGCAUCGACCCCAUGGCUGACGACGCCGCCGCCAAGAAGAAGGCCUCGGCCGAUCCCGAGGCUGCCCCUGCCGCCGCCGCGUUGGCCUGGCCAACCGGAGUGUAUGACUCGUUCAUCCCUUAUUUGCUCGUUCAUGUGCUAGCCGUAUAUAUGCUGUUCAUGGAUGUUUCGGUUCUACGUACUGUACGUGCUCACAUGCUUAGGUAUUGGCAUGAGAUGCAUACCGUAUUUGCCAUGCUUACUGUUUACUCAUGGAUUAGAUUAGUCAGAAAAGUGCUAAUAUUUCCAACAUGAUUUUGUUGCACGGCGAGCAGGUUCGUGCGGUUCUUGGUCUUGCACAGAUUUAGCUUGGUUUUUCCAUUCUUGCACUCUCGAUGAUACCUAGUUAAGUUUGUGACAGUUUGUGACUACUUUAGAAUUCAACAAUACACACCGAUAUGCCUCCUCGAUCCCAGCUUCACAAUUUUCACUAAAGUUUCUACUAAUAGGCUUAGGCCUUUUUUGAUUUAGAGGAAUCUUGUAGGAAUUUCAUAGGAUAGGAUUUUUAUAGAAAAAAGUCCUUUAUAAUCCUUUGGUUUGUAGUAAUGAAAUCCUAUUCCUAUGGAGGAGUUCUUCCUAUCCUCCAUAUUUCAUAGGAAAAUAAACAUUAGUCUAAACUCAAUGAAAAAAAUCCUAUGAUGUGAAUCAAAGAGCAUCUCCUUUCCUAUUCCUACUCAUAGGAUUUGAGAUACAUGUCAUCUCAUUUCCUACAACUUUUCUAUUCCUACGUUUUUCCUACCCUAUAAACCAAAGGAGGCCUUAACGCGGUAGCCGAUUAUGUUGACUUUCAUAUAAGAAAGCAAUAUACUCGAUUGAGUAGUUAUCCUAGAACCGUUCGUAACAUGCACUAGAAGAACGUGAGUGGGGUAGUAUUCAAGACCGACUUUCAAAAAACUUGUGAUAAAGUCGUUGUAACAGCAGACCCUCAGGAUGAAAGGUUUCUUGAGUAAUGACGCGAAUGGAUCCAAAAUUUUGUCACUGGUGCAUGUCAUAGGUCAUUACUUUCAAAAAAAAAA